This 71-nucleotide transfer RNA is filed under the name Opisthocomus hoazin. Its description in RNAcentral is "tRNA-Ile". The record is from RNAcentral. Lineage: Eukaryota; Metazoa; Chordata; Aves; Opisthocomiformes; Opisthocomidae.
GGAAAUGUACCUGAAUAUAAAGGGUCACUAUGAUAAAGUGAACAUAGAGGCACCCAAUCCUCUCAUUUCCU